AUUGAACGCUGGCGGCAGGCCUAACACAUGCAAGUCGAACGAGUGGCGGACGGGUGAGUAAUGUCUGGGAAACUGCCUUAUGGAGGGGGAUUACUACUGGAAACGGUAGCUAAUACCGCAUAUCAUCGGAAUUUCCCAGAUGGGAUUAGCUAGUAGGUGGGGUAAAGGCUCACCUAGGCGACGAUCCCUAGCUGGUCUGAGAGGAUGACCAGCCAGGCUUGAACGGAGACACGGUCCAGACGCCUACGGGAGGCAGCAGUGGGUAAUAUUGCACGAUGGGCGCAAGCCUGAUGCAGACAGGCCGCGUGUAUGAAGAAGGCCUUCGGGUUGUAAAGUACUUUCCGCGGGGAGGCGUUACCCGCAGAAGAAGCACCGGCUAACUCCGUGCCAGCAGCCGCGGUAAUUC
This 406-nucleotide ribosomal RNA is filed under the name uncultured bacterium. RNAcentral describes it as "partial 16S ribosomal RNA". It matches the Rfam family "Bacterial small subunit ribosomal RNA", at positions 30 to 526 of the family's 1533-position model. The record is from RNAcentral.